Molecule: small nuclear RNA, 342 nt
Filed under: Microcebus murinus (gray mouse lemur)
Lineage: Eukaryota; Metazoa; Chordata; Mammalia; Primates; Cheirogaleidae
Description: 7SK RNA (ENSMICG00000024564.3)
Rfam family: 7SK RNA (bases 1-307)
About the family: 7SK was discovered as an abundant small nuclear RNA in the mid-70s but a possible function has only recently been suggested. Two independent studies have found that 7SK RNA binds the CDK9/cyclin T complex (known as elongation factor P-TEFb). P-TEFb activates transcription by phosphorylating the C-terminal domain of RNA polymerase II.
Source: RNAcentral
GGAUGUGAGGGUGAUCUGGCUGUGACAUCUGUCACCCCAUUGAUUGCUAGGGUUGAUUCAGCUGAUCUGGCUGGCUAGGUUGGUGUCCCUUCCUCCCUCACCACUCCAUGUGCAUCCCUCCUGAAGUCGUGUGCUUGGUCAAAGAGGACAACCUUCCCCAAUAGAGUAGGACUAUUCUUUGGUCAAGGGUAUACAAGUAGCUUUGCACCCCUGGUAGAACCUCCAAACAAGCUCUGAAAAGAACAUUUAUUGUAUACCUACUUUGUUCCAGAUACUACAGGCACAGUUGAUACAAAGAUGAGCAAACAGAGGUUGUGCACAUGGGUGGCAUUACCCAGAGAU